Long non-coding RNA from Oncorhynchus tshawytscha (Chinook salmon), 11048 nucleotides. The record is from Ensembl. NCBI's taxonomy places the organism in Eukaryota, Metazoa, Chordata, Actinopteri, Salmoniformes, Salmonidae.
UUGGUUAUUAGAAAAGCACAAACAUUCACAUUUCCAUAACAUUCCAUCCUCUUAUCACUUAUCACGUGUGAUGAUAAUCAUUACAUUUUAAUGUAAGCAUUUAGAUUAUAGCUUCUAUAUCAUAAUAUUCUAUACUCAUAUUAAAGUUAGGGAAAUCAAUGCAGAAAAAAACAGGCACUUCAUAAUUUCAAGCCCUUCAUUUUGGGUUGAUCAAUCUAAUUAAUGGUAAUACAAUUUUUUUAUUUUACCUUUAUUUAACUAGGCAAGUCAGUUAAGAACAAAUUCUUAUUUACAACGAAUGCCUAGGAACAGUGGGUUAACUGCCUUGUUUAGGGGUAGAAUUAUAUAUUUUUUUAACCUUGUCAGCUCUGGGAUUCGAUCUAGCAACCUUUCAAACAGGGAUUCCAACCAAGUUGCAGUCGUCCACUCUGGUUGUGGGGAAUUAUUCUUAGCAACAGCGGCAAUGUAUUCGGCGAGAUCAGUCAUAUUAGAAGAGUGAUCUGGGACAAAGGUACAACAUUCAUCGCCAUUGUUUGCACAAGUGUCCCCUUUACCUGCCAAAAGAUAGUUAAGAACCUCUCUGUUUUGCAGAGCCAAUUUACGCAAUUCUUUUAGCAUUGCUAAUUUUCUCUAUAUCUCUAGAGAUCUCCCGAAUUUGGCCUAGAGCACAUUCAUAUUAACUUUCACAGAGAAGAGAGAGAACACAUGUUAUAACAGUUUCACACCAACCUUGAUAAGAAUGGGAUUGGGGCAAGGUUAGCCCAAGCUACAAUCUAGUGGCUCUCCUCACAAUUUAGGGGCAUAGCUCUGUCUCUAGAAGCCUCUCCUUUCCAUGUCAUAAUUAUAAAUAUUGAUAAAUUAUCCAACCCAAAUUUAGAAUGACAGUCCUUAGUGCUUCACGUUGGUUCUAUCACGUAAAUUUAAGACCCUCAUCAAUAAAUCAAACAGAGUUUUAACGACUAACAAAUAUUAAUUAACAGGUGGGUUGUGUGUUGGUGCUGGCAUGUAUAUAGUAAAAAUCGUAGGGUAAAAACAAACAAAAUGGCCAGGCCUUACUUAAUUUGGGAGCUCCCUUAACAGCUGGAUCCGGGUACCUUUAACUGCUCUCCUAAGGCACUUGCCUUGGGCAUCCUUUCAAAGGGAGAGAUACAGAAUCAUUGAUAAACAUAGAAAAAAAACUUGAUAUACACAUCAGAUGAUACAGUGUCCCGUCAAGCUGAAUAGGCACCUUCUAAAGUAAACAAAGCCAGAGUCCCUCUCUUGUAAUCAUUGUCAUUUCGACCUGUUGCGUUGACAUACAAUUCUGUACAAACUAUCCCUGGGACAUAAACUUAGUCUCAAUAUAAAACCUGUUGUUUAACAAAUCUGCUAGGACCUUCAAAAAGUUGGUGCUGGCUUAUCAGCUCAAUAUUCGGUACUAAAAACAUUUACUUGGAUCUACUUCUUCUGGACACAGUUCCACGUAAUGGAAACAUAUUGUUGUUUUAGAUGACAUUACCUUCUUACUUUAAUCCCUGGUGCUACCCAUACUAUAGAAUUGAGUAAUACAUUGUCAAAAACGUGUCUUAUUCAAUUAUUCAUACCUCUGUCCCAAAUUUCCCAUCGUGUCUUGUACAGCCUGUUUGAAUUCAGUGUGUACUGGCAGCUAUUGUUCCACAGGAAGCUGAUCUCUAACCCAAACAACAGAUUACUUAAACACAAGAGCAAUGGACCAGGCCUUGAAGAGUGAGCCUGGUCCAAUGCUCAAUCCCUUUGUCUUACUACUUGAAAUUACUCAGAUAUUAUGUUAUUGGAGUGCUAUCUGAAAGCCAAUUACUAUUCACUUUGUUACUUUCACUAGUCUCCAUAUCUGUUUCCUUCUUUCCCAAUAGGAAGACCUUCUCAAUCACUUUGUUAAUACACACAGAUCACUCUCAAACAACAUUCUGUUUUCUCCCCUAUUGCAAGGUUUAAAACAAAACAAACAUGAUAACCUUCUCCAUAUUGGAAGGCAUUGAUUUCAUUUUAGUCUAACCUAACAAUGUUAGUCUAUAUAUUUAUUUCAAUUUUCUGUUGGAUAUUCACUUUCUGCUUCACACUUAUUAAAUGUCUAUUUUAAGCUUCAUAUGUAAUAUGCCAAAUGUAUAAAAUACAUUGGUCAAUUUAGAAGGGGAGAGAUAGGCAGUGCUAGCCUAGUUAUAAUAACUGUUUAUCAGUUCACUGUCAUUGGAAUGUUCUAUCCAUAAGGUUUCUGGCACUUGAGACAAAAUAGACUGGGAGGCAGUGUCAGACCCCCAGUCAUCCUGGGGGACUGGUUCAAUUUGCCUGCUUACUCAUUGGUUUAAUAUCUCAUCGUUUGGGAUAUCAACAAAAACUCCAUCAGAGGUACAAUCAAUUGUAGCCUUAAGUUUAGUUAACAGAAAAUCAUGUUCAACAUUCAUUGGUUCUAUUUAUAGUUUAAAUUGUUAGGGGUAAGUCAAGUCCCAUACAAUGCUUUAACCUUAUCAUACCUCAGAUUAUCCAUAAAGGGAUCACUCUGAACAUUUCUCAUAAUACCUUUGACACAACUUACAUAGUCUACAUGUGGGUGUGCAAAUUGUAUAUCUUUUUUUUUCUAUUGUUACAUCUCUAGUAACCCAUUAUGCUCAAUAUUAUGUUACUUUAUCUCUAAAGUUUCAAUCUCUUAUUAUCCAAAUGUCAAUCAGCUAUUUAUCCAUAUUUCUUAAUAUCCACAUUUCAAUCAAUCUUAUUAUUCAAAUUUCAAUCAGCUUAGUUUGUCAUAUCUCACAAUCACGCAACUUUCACAUCGACUUUCACUUUCACAAAAUCACUCCCUAAAAACAAAAUCCUAUGGAACAAUCCUUGGAUUGCUUUUCAGAAUGCACAUUGGUCCACAUGGACAACUAGGUGAAGGAUGUUUUGAACUAACAAAAAGAGUUCUACAAGCAGUUGUUACAAAAAUAACAAAAUAGCUUGAAGUGUUUUGUCCAAAUAUAGGUGGAGUCAACUAAUAAAAGAAUGUAUGACCUGACCAGAGAGGUCCAGGACCUGAAGAACAGUUUGCAGUUCUCCCAGUGUCUGCUUGAUGAGUUUAAACAGGAGAACGGCAAGAUGACAGCAAUCUGUAAAUCAUUGAGAGAGGACAUCAAUUCUGUGUAUGAAUCCAUGAUAACAAUGACGGAUAAAUCAAAUUAUCUCGAGGGACAAUCAAGACGGAACAACAUGGUUGUGGACGGAAUUGCAGAAUCUCCACGAGACAUGGAGGGAGUCUGAUGACAAAGUGAGGGAAGUGAUCUCAGAGAAAUUGAAGAUGGACCAGCGGAAGAUUGAGGUGGAGCGCACCAACAGAACUGGAAAUCCCACCACCGGUCCAGGUGACAUGCCCAGGCCGAGGUUGCUGUUCUGGAAGGUAGCUGUUCUAGAAAGAGCCAAGAACUUGAGAGGAAUGUACAUCUUCCUCAACAAGGACUAUCCUGAAGCUGUGCGCCAGAAGAGAAAAUACCUUACCCCAGCCAUGAAAGCUGCCAGAGCGAGUGUGGACAUUGCUUACAUCCGCUAUGACAGGCUCAUUGUCCACCCUCCCUCCUAAAAAUGCCUGGAAGGGAUGAGAGAACCAAGACUAUGGAUUCAUAGCUUUAACCUCACAGCACACACCACACUUUCGAACACCAACUGAUUAAUGGAUUGCAGAAUGUAUAUUUUUGUCUCUUGCUUUCUCUGAUAAGCUACCCAGGAAAGGGCUGAAAAUAGCCCAUAUUAAUAUAUGUAGCCUAAGAAAUAAGGUUAAUGAAAUCAAUAACUUGCUGACAUCAGAUAACAUUCAUCUAUUAGCCAUUUCUGAGACUCACUUAGAUAAUUAAUUUGAUGAUACAAUACAAGGAUAUAACAUCUAUAGAAGAGGCAGAAAUGCUUAUGGGAAGUGUUGCUGUAUAUAUUCAGAGCCAUAUCCCUGUAAUGCUUAGAGAAGCUCAUAUGUCAAGUGUUAUUGAAGUGUUGUGGUUUCAGGUUCACUUGGCCCAUCUAAAGCCUUUUCUUUUGGGGUGUUGCUAUAGGCCAACAAGUGCUAACAGUCAGUAUCUAAAUAAUAUGUGUGAAAUGCUUGAUAGUGUAUGUGAGGUAAACAGAGAGGUCUACUUUCUUGGGGACCUGAAUAUUGACUGGUUUUCAUCAAGCUGUCCGCUCAAGAGGAACCUUCUUACUGUAACCAGUGCCUGUAAUCUGGUUCAGGUUAUUAGUCAACCUACCAGGGUGUUUACCAACACUACAGGAACAAGAUCAUCCACAUGUAUCGAUCACAUUUUUAGAACUUUGUUCUAAAGCUGUAUCCAUACCCAUUGGAUGCAGUGAUCACAAUAUUGUGGCUAUAUCCAGGAAAGCCUAAGUUCCAAAAACUGUGCCUAAAAUUGUGUAUAAGGGAUCAUACAAAAGAUUUUGCUGUAGAUGAUGUAAAAAAUAUUUGUUGGCAAGUCAGUUAAGAACAAGUUCUUAUUUACAAUGAUGGCCUACAAAGGAACAGUGCUUUGUUCAGGGACAGGAUGACAGAUUUUUAAACCUUGUCAGCUCAGUGAUUCGAUCCAGCAACCUUUAAUUUACUGGCCCAACACUCUAACCACUAGGCUACAUAUCGCCCUAAAAUGAAUAAGGAGCAUCCAGAUGCUGCACUUCAUGAAUUUAUGAAAUAGCUUUUUCCAAUUAUUGAUAAACAUGCACCUGUUAAGAAGCUGACUGUUUGAACUGUUCAGGCUCAGUGGAUUGAUGAGGAAUCGAAAAACGUUACGGUUGAAAGAGAUGAGGCAAAAGGAGUGGCUAAUAAGUCUGGCUGCACAUCUGAUCCUCAUGUAGCUACCCUGCACACCAGCUGCCAAACCUUCAAUCUGCACUACAGCUAAAGUACACAGAACACUACAGCUUCCUCUUUCUAUGUAUAUUUGGGUGGACACUUGACUUUCUUAUCACCCCUUGCAACAUUUCUCCUUCACCCUGCUUGAGUUAGUGGGUUGGUUUAUCUAUCAAUCUAUCAAAGUCUCUCUGUCACUCUCUCUCUCUGUCUUUCUCUCUCUGUCUCAGUACAUUGUUGUAAUGAUGUGCAAACAGUUAAAGUACGAAAGGGAAAAUAAAUAAACAUAAAUAUAAGUUGUAUUUACAAUGGUGUUUGUUCUUCACUGUUUGCCCUUUUCUUGUGGCAACGGGUCACACAUCUUGCUGAUGUGAUGGCACUCUGUGGUAUUUCACCCAAUAGAUAUGGGAGUUUAUCAAAAUUGUAUUUGUUUUCGAAUUCUUUGUGGAUCUGUGUAAUCUGAGGGAAAUACGUGUCUCUAAUAUGGUCACACAUUCGGCAGGAGGUUCUCUCUCUCUCUCUCUCUGUCUCUCUGUGUUUCUCUCUCUCCGCCCACAUUAUAUCCCCUCUCGCUCUAUUUCUUACACGUCUAUCUUUAAGUUUCUGUAUCCCCAUCUCUUGUUAAAAAAGUGCCACCACUAACACCUGCCUCGUUGGGUCUGUCUCUCUUGAAACCAUCAUUCAGACUGUUCAUUUUAUAGCAACACAUUGGUGAGUUUACUUUUUUUUUUUUAAAUCAAUCAUAAUUCAUCAAAUCGCCCCUAUGUUUAGCAUUUUAUGGCGUGGAUCUGUUUGAACAUUUUCUCUCAACUUCCUAUGUGUGACCAUCUUGUCACGGCUCUUUCCACUCUCUGUAUGUCCAUCCUUCAGCUUCCCACUCUCCACUGAAUCUCUCCCUCCACAUCUCCUCCUCACUUUUCUUCCACCACUGUUUCUCUCCUUCCACUGUGUUUUUAUUCAGUCUUUUUAGGACUUUUACAUAUUUCCACCCCUUUUCUUUUUUUUGUGUGUGACCAUGGUGUAUUUAGUUUCAGAACUGUUAGAAGAAUCUUAGUUUAUGUAGUUCAGUCCUUGAGCUGUUCUUGUCUAUUGAGGUUUUGUAUUAUAUCAUGUUUUAUUACUUGUGUGGAGCCCAGGAAGUGUAGCUGCACCUUCAGCAACAGCUAAUGGGUAUCUGAAUAAAAUGCCAAUAACAAUCUACAAAAUGAAAUAAUUGCAUUGGGGGUGAAGGGUGUGGUUAAUGGUUACAUAUCAAGUGGGCCUUUGCUUAAAACAUUUAUGUUAUCUGUGCUAAUGCUGCAUAAGUGCUAUGCAUAUAAACAGAGUAUGUAAACAGCACAUCCCUCAGUGAGAUCCUUAUUAAAGAUCCUUAUUAAAUCAGUGUGCCACCCCAAUACAGCUACCUUUACAAAGGCAGUCUAAUUCUAAUAUUUCUCCUACUAAUUGGUCUUUUGACCAAUCACAUCAGCUCUGAAAAAGAUCUGAUGUGAAAAGAUCUACUGUGGUUGUUCAAAAGACCAAUUAGUGGAAAAAAGGUCAGAAUUGGCUGCCUGUCUAAACACAGCCUACUGUACCCUGCCUGCCUGCAUCACAUGAAAAUGUGUAAUGGGAAAUGUUCAGAUAUGCCUUCAACUUAUUGGCUGGUUGGUCAUAUGCAUAAAUGUAAAGGCAUUGUAGGAUGUAGAAAGAGAGAGAAAACAUUGCUUAACAUAUUUUGCAUAAUCAAGUUGGCAAUCUAGGAUUAACUAUGCCUUGUUGAUAACUUUAAUCUGAUGAGCAGAAUGUCACAUUUGUACGUCAUAUGAAACAACAAGUCCACAUACUCUACCGUUCCAAAGUUUGGUGUCACUGAGAAAUGUCUUUGCUUUUGAAAGAAAAAAAGCACAUUUUUAUCCAUUAAAAUAACAUCAAAAUGAUCAGAAAUACAGUGUAGACAUUGAUAAUGUUGUAAAUGACUAUUGUAGCUGGAAAUUGUAGUUUUUUUUGUGGAAUAUCUACAUAAGCGUACAGAGGGCCAUUAUCAGCAACCAUCACUCCUGUGUUUAAAUGGCACAUUGUGUUAGCUAAUCCAAGUUUAUCAUUUUAAAAGGCUAAUUGAUCAUUAGAAAACCCUUUUGCAAUUAUGUUAGCACAGCUGAAAACUGUUGUGCUGUUUAAAGAAGCAAUAAAACUGGCCUUCUUUAGACUAGUUGAGUAUCUGGAGCCAGAAAUGGCCAGAAAUGGCCAGAAACAUAGGACUUUCUUCUGAAACUCGUCAGUCUAUUCUGGUUCUGAGAAAUGCAAGAGGACAAGUACAUUAGAAUGUUUAGUUUGAGAAACCAACGCUUCACAAGUCCUCAACUGGCAGCUUCAUUAAAUAGUACCCGCAAAACACCAGUCUCAACGUCAACAGUGAAGAGGCAAGUCCGGGAUGCUGGCCUUCUAGGCAGAGUUCCUCUGUCCAGUGUAUGUGUUCUUUUGCCCAUCUUAAUCUUUUCUUUUUAUUGGCCAGUGAGAUAUGGCUUUUUCUUUGCAACUCUGCCUUGAACAAGAACAAGAAUAAGGGUUUUGUAACGAAUCUCUUCGUCGUCUGAGGAGGAGUAGGAAGGAUCAGACCCAUAUGCAGCGUGGUAAGUGUCCAUGUUAAUUUAUUAGACUGAACAUGAAACAGUUCUGUAAGGUGACAUACACUAAACAGAAAACAACUACCCACAAAUCAUAGUGGGAACACAGGCUACCUAAGUAUGGUUCUCAAUCAGAGACAACGAUUGACAGCUGCCUCUGAUUGGGAACCAUACCAGGCCAAAAGCAGAAAUACAAAACCUAGAACAAAAAAAUUGAAUGCCCACCCCAACUCACGCCCUGACCAAACUAAAACAGAGACAUAAAAAAGGAACUAAGGUCAGGACGUGACAGGUUUUCUAAUACUCAAUUAGACUUUUAAAAUUAGCUAACACAACGUGCCAUUGGAGCACAGGAGUGCUGGUAAUGGGCCUCUGUACGCCUAUGGAGAAAUUCCAUUAAAAAUCAGCCGUUUCCAGUCAUUUACAACAUUAACAAUGUCUACACUGUAUUUCUGAAAAAUUUGAUGUUAUUUUAAUGGACAAAAAAAUGCUUUUCUUUCAAAAACAAGGACAUUUCUAAGUGACCCCAAACGUUUGAAAGGUUGUGUACAUGAAUCCCAAUGCAUUCCUGUCUGAACCAGAACUAUAAAUGAAUCUUUACUCAAUAUGUCAGCUAUCGACACAGAUUUGGGGAAACCACAGGUGCACUUAUUUUAAAAUUAAUUUGUCGGCUCUGACAGGCAUCCAUAUUUAUCUAUACAAGCAUCCAUAUUCAUCUAUAUAACCGUUUCCAAUUGACUGUUAUAAUUAUUCAACUAGAAGUGAGCAAGACCGAAGGGAGAGAAAGCAUCUGCUGGCUUCCUGUUAGUGAGUCACACAGGCAGAAUCAGGGGGAGAAUCUCAAUUGCAUACUCCCCACGUCCUCUCUCCGCUCUCCUCGCCUCCUUCUCAAAACCCAUUGGAUGAGAAAAACAGAGGUCCCACCCCUCUGACCUUCUCCUCCAAUGGGUUUUGAGAAGAAGGCGAGGAGACAGGAGUGAGGACGCAAAGAGUAUGCAAUUGAGAUUCUCCCAUUGCCGCCGCCUCAUACUCACUUCCUGUGUUUGGGUGGUGUGACGUGCUGUAUCUGCAGGGACAGUACAGCACAAUGAAACAAUAGCAUGGCACAUCAAUCACCAUGACACCACAACUGUCAGAACCAUUCACAACCGGUCAAUGUGACAGUUUCUGAUUACAAUAAUCAUAUUAUUAUUCAUGGUCAGGUUUUAGUCUACAUUUAAAACCAGCCAUACUUUAUCCUGUAAAAUGUUUUUUUCGAGAGUCCACCUUUCCGCCACAAACAUUUCUAUUUCAGGUGUAAAUAUCUGUAUAUAUAUUUUUUAAAUGCUGCAUGGAUAUUGUAAUUGGGAGGUGAAAUGUUUUGCUUGUCAGGAGGUAUAAUGAACACUACUUAAUUAUACUGCAAACAUUUUCGGCAGUAGGUAGCUAAUGUUACUAUAUUUUCUUUACAGAUCCAGUCAUUAAUAAAUCAAUGUAUGGAUCACCUCCAAUUGAAAGGAAAUAAACUGGAUCUCCACCGCAGCAGUUUUACCUUGGAUUGAGCAAAGAUUUCUUCAACUUUUCUGAGAACUAUUUGAAGAGGCAUGACUAAUUCCGAUCCAGAAAUGAAAGACCAAACCACAUCCUCCUUUGUCGUCUUGACUGUCUUCUUCAUCCUGGUCACCCUCGUUGUCGUCCUGGUCGUCCUGUACAUGUGGCUAAACCGCCAGACUAAUGGCCAGUACACAGUCCACCAACUGGUCCUUGGGGAGGGUGGGGCCAGGGACCGGGUGAGGGGUGGGGUCCAAGUCCUAGAGGUGUGGUUCAGGCGUCGCCUUUGGCCUCUCAGUGAGGAUGAGGAGACUGUAGGAGAGGAGGAACAGAGAGACAAAGAGGAGGAUGUAGAGAGAGUGAGUGAGGGAGGGGAAAGCAAGGGGGAGGGGAAGAAGGAGGAGGGGGAUGAGAGGGAGGGCCGAGUGGAUGACUCUUCGGAUGAGUACUCCAGUGAGGAGGACUGUGGCCUGACGGAGAGUGUGAAGGUCAUGGACGAGAAGAAGGAGAGGAGAGAGUGUGAGGGGAAGCGAGAGGAGAAUAUGGAAGAAAAUGGGGAUAGCAAAGGUGAUGAGGGAGCAGUGGGAGGAGAAGAAAGUGGACAGGGAGGUUUGCUGAUACACCUGCAUCAGUCCUCUGGUAGUGCUAUCUGGUCUGAAGAUUAUGAGGGAGGCAAAGACAACAAUCAUGUGACUGCAUUGUGAGGAAAGGAUCAGAAAGGGGAAAGAGUUCCAUUAAUACAUUUUUGUACAGUAAUAGCGCUUGACAGAACAUUGGCUACUUGUCAUCAUCACCAUCAUUGUCAUAAUUGUCAUAAUUGUAAACCUUACAAACCAGUGUUAUAACAAUCAAGGCAGAAAACAACAGAGUGUACUAAAUCAAUCCAAUCAUCAAAGUGACUGACAAGAGCAACAAUUGCAGCUUGAAUACAUGAAGCUAUAUAAAUGUAUUUUAGAUAUAAAAUAUAAUUUUUAAACGGUAUCAAAGUUUCAUGGGUUUCAAAGUUUUGGGGUUUGCACUGUUGCUAUGAGAUAAUUUGUAUUGUAAAUAUUUGUGUUCUGUAUAUUUUAUGAAUUUAAUAGCUAUUUAGAUCCUUCUUCCUGGAGAUCUACUGUCCUGUAGGUUUUCAGUCUAAUCCUAAUUUAGCAUAUCUGAUUCAGCUAGUUAAGGUAUUGUUGAGCAGCUAAUUCGUAGAAUCAGGUCUGUUAAAUUAGGGUUGGACUGAAAACCCACAGGAAGGUAGAUCUCCAGGAAGAGGGUUGUGCAGCCCUGGCCUAUGGCUUGACUUUGUGCUAUACUGUUUCAUGUCUUAUGUGCAUGAUGUUUAUUUCCAGAGUGACAAUUUUAUACUUUUUAUUAUCUGAUACAACUUAAAGGCCCAGUGCAGUCAAAAUUAUGUUUUGUCUCAUGUUGUACAGCAACUCAUGGAACAAACACUGUAAAAGUGUGAAAAGAUUUGAUCAGUGUUAUUCCUGAUAGUUGCUGGUGGAAAAUACAAUCUACACAGGGCCUUUACAUUUUUAUUUUUGAUGAGAGACUGUUACAGAGGAGUGUAAAUGUUUUUUAAGGCUGGAACAUGUUGUUGAAUCGUAUUGUUGUAUGUUGUAAUUCUGUAAUGUAUUGAUUGUUGUUGCCUUUUUGGCCAGGUCUCCAUUGAAAAAGAGGGUCUUAAUGUGCUUUUCCUGGUUAAAUGAAGGUUAAGAACAUUUUUUUAAAUCAGCAGGUUUGCAUGGCAUUCCCCUCCCACUCAGACCACUUCCUGACAGUCCUAGCAAAAUUCUUGCCUGAGAAUUUUUUGUUGUUGCAAAAAGGCUAUUGUUGUCCAUUUUAAUGAAAAACUAUUAUAGUAAGGUUCUUAAUUGUUACCCAGAAGUAAUUUGAUAUUGAUAUAAAAACGGUUGCAUGAGGCUUUUAAGUGUUUGCGCUGAUGUGAUUAUAUUGUCUGUUUCCUUUUCUUAAAACUGCAUUGUUGGUUAAGGGCUUGUAAGCAAGCAAUUCACUGUUGUAUUCGGCGCAUGUGAUAAAUAAUAUUUGAUUUGAUUUAAUUUGAUUGAUAGUUUUUUGUUGAAAUAAAAAAAAUAUUUUCUAAAUGAUUAUUA